UCGAGGAUCUUCGGCAAUGGGCGCAAGCCUGACCGAGCGACGCCGCGUGUGGGAUGAAGGCCUUCGGGUUGUAAACCACUGUCAGAGGGGAUGAAAUGCGCGCGGGUUCUCUCGCGUGUUUGACAUAUCCUCAGAGGAAGUACGGGCUAAGUUCGUGCCAGCAGCCGCGGUAAGACGAACCGUACAAACGUUAUUCGGAAUCACUGGGCUUAAAGGGUGCGUAGGCGGCGGCGCAAGUUGGGUGUGAAAUCCCUCGGCUCAACCGAGGAACUGCGCUCAAAACUGCGUCGCUUGAGGAAGAUAGAGGUGAGUGGAACUUAGGGUGGAGCGGUGAAAUGCGUUGAUAUCCUAAGGAACACCAGUGGCGAAAGCGACUCACUGGGUCUUCUCUGACGCUGAGGCACGAAAGCUAGGGUAGCGAACGGGAUUAGAUACCCGCGUAGUCC
RNAcentral lists this ribosomal RNA (446 nucleotides) under uncultured bacterium. RNAcentral's name for it is "bacterial SSU rRNA". It matches the Rfam family "Bacterial small subunit ribosomal RNA", at positions 355 to 796 of the family's 1533-position model. The record is from RNAcentral.